This 70-nucleotide transfer RNA is filed under the name Dyadobacter sp. 32. RNAcentral's name for it is "tRNA_Ser_CGA". Lineage: Bacteria; Pseudomonadati; Bacteroidota; Cytophagia; Cytophagales; Spirosomataceae. The record is from RNAcentral.
GAGAUGCGGCAGCUGGUGCAAACCGGUAGUGGGCUGGCAAACGCAGGGGUUCGAUUCCUCUCGUCUCCGC